UGUGGUCCGAUCAUACUUUAACAAUUACAGACAAACACAAUAAACUAAAAUAAUAACACAAACAAUCAUACUUUUCACAUUUUUACUGAAUACACUGAGUAAUCAUUAAAAGUGCAGCAUGGAGAAUGUACAAAAGGCCCUCAAUGAAUCAAGUAUGUAUAUAGUUAAUUCGGAAGCAUUACCUACUAUGUCCAGUACGUGGCAGUAUACCCUCACUUACGUUCAUUGCAAGUGUUGCAUCAGCCGUAGCUGCGAUUGCGUUAUGAGGAAAUUACCAUAAGCUCCGGUCAGAUGUGGACUGUUAUCGCUUGGUUCCUGCUAAAUUCACCUGUUCUGAUUAUUCCUGAGUGGUUUUAGUUGGUGUGCGUCAAUGACGAUAUGUAAGUGCACUGUUUAUUAUUAAUGUUACUUUGAGAUUGUGUCUAGUCACUGUUUAAUGCCGUGAUAUGUGACGAUUCAUCCUAAUGCUAAGCUAAUCUUGACUGGUAGUGAAAGACAUCAUUUGUACGAAGUUUGUUAAGCAUUAAGCGAUUAUUCACGGUGACUAUUCAUUCUGUAAUCUUAAUCAAUGGCUGCAGUUGACUACUUCAUGAAGCAGAUUGCUGUUCUGUUGCUAAUAUAUAUUAUCCUAAUGUUAGUUUAAUAUUGUUCUAAUGUCUUAGUGUGUGAGCAUAAUACUGUACUAUUUGGGAUGAUAAUAUUACAGUUAGUAAUUAUUCCUUCUUUCUGUUCAUUUUAGAACCACAUCCAUAUAUAUCUAAUUGUAUAGAUUGGAACCACAGAAAGAAAUACCUGUAUGCCAUACCGUGCUGAUUGCUGAUUCUGACUCCUAAACAUCCAAGUAAACCUACAUCAACCUGAUACUGUCUCCCUGAGUCGUGACUGACAUCCUGUAGCGAAUGCAACAUAUUACCAGUUAACUAAUUCAAUCCUGUCUCUUCCGAACAUUGUGGUCCUUCGAGCCGGAUGUGAUUUGCUACAGUGACAGCAUGGUUGAUGAGCAUCAGAGAGGAACUGUUCCAGAGGCCGUACGGCCAAAACGCCAGACACGUCACCCUGCCUGCUUUGAUGAUUUUGAAGUGAACUAUGGAGGUUAUCAGCCACGUAACAAACAUCCUUAUAGCACAGCACGGUAUGAGCACAGACAAAACCAGGAAUUCAGUGAGAGCAGAGGAGGUACACAACAGAUGGCACAUCGUACCCCACCUAAAGAAUCAAACUCAUCAUCAGAGUCAACUUCAUAUCCCUGCCUUCCAGAUUCAAGAGCUCAGUCCUUCGGAGCCUCCCAGUAUCGGACUGAUACUAGAAAGCUACCUGAAGCUUCUACUCCCUUCCAUGAGCAGACCGCUAAUGUUAUGUAUGCCCCCUACAGUCCACUCAAGGUUCAAAUAAGUACCAGUGCUCCACCUACCUUGUAUGGAAAGGGUGCUUCGCUUGACUCGCAUGCUUCUCCUUCAUAUGUGGGUUCCCCUGAUCCUUAUUCACUGCCAGCUAGAACUCCACAUUAUUCACAUUAUAUUGUGAGUCAUGGUGCUAAUGACCCAAGUUACCCACCUCAGCAGCAGAGAGCCUCCCUAACUGAGCCACAAAGCAUGAUGGUUUUGAUUGACAAAAUGAUGGGUCAGUUACAGCUAAUGAAAGAAGAAGUUGCGUCAAAGCAUGGCACCCCUAGCAGGGCACCACAGACUUAUAAAGAGCCACCUCCUGUGCAUUAUGAAUACCCUGACCAACAAUAUGCUGCUGACCGAGUUUAUGGGCCAGUUGACCGAUUCCAGAGCGGCUACGUGCCUGCGCCGAGAUCAAAGAUCGAUAUGUACCAUCACUCAGUACCCCUACCUACUCAGAAACCCAAGCCUUCUUGGGCAGAGCAGCCUUCCAUUCAGCUAAAGGAGUCAGCUGCAGAAUACCGUGGUCCUAAGCCCAGUAUACCCUACCUGGUGCAUAAAGAUCCAAGCGAGUUUGCUCGCCUGAAGCUUGCGCUCCACAAUCUGCUACCUGAAGAUGCGUCAGAGUUGUUCAAGUUCCAGAUCUUGGUGGACCAUCUGCAAUUGGAAGAGGCAAGACUGAUUGCGGAUUCUUUCCUUAACUCUCCAUAUCCUUAUACAGAGACAAUGGCUGUCUUGACAGAGAAAUUUGGUAAGCCUCACCAACUUGCUUUGAGUAAGAUUGCUCGAGUAAUGGAUGCACCAGAUGUCCGUCCAGGAGACCCUGAAGCCUUCGAAAGGUUUGCAUUACAAGUUCAAGCCCUGGUAGGACUGCUGAAAUCCCUGGGACCAGAUGGGGAUGCCGAAUUGACGUGCGGUUCUCAUGUGGUUCGCCUGCUGACCAAGCUGCCACCUGAUUUAAGAGCUGCUUUCAGGAGACAAAUGCUGCCUAGUCAAUCCUCAAGCUUUACACUUCCAGAGUUCUCCAAAUGGUUGCAAGCUGAAUCAUGGUGUCAAAGUAGUGAUGUGGUGGGAAACAUUCAGAUGAAAGGUUGGCCAAAGCAAAGGUCUGAUAAACACAAAGAGCUAAGGUCAAGACCAGCUACUGUACUGCAUGGAGCAGGCAGCCCUGUCACAAAUACAACUUCCUCCCCAAUCAAACCUGCCACUUUGCCAGAGAACAAGGUGAAAAUUAAAACCUAUUGUCCCUAUUGUGAGAAGGCAGACCAUUUCCUUAGUCAGUGCGUCAACUUCCAGCAGCUCACGACAGAACAAGUGAAGCAAUGGAUUCAGACUAACAAACGCUGUUGGAAGUGUGGAAGGUCACAUUUAUCUGCACAGUGCAACCUGAAGAAACCCUGUAACAAGUGUAAAGGGAAACAUUUGCUGAUACUCCAUGACAUCAAUUACAAGUCAGUCAAAGAUAAUUCCCCAGCAUCAAGUUCCACUGCGGAAACCUUAUACCUGGACAAACCUGGAACAGAUAGCCGGGUCCUGCUCAAGGUAGUCAGAGUUCUGCUGAAAUAUAAUAACCGCACCUUGGACACUUAUGCUAUCCUAGACGAUGGAUCCGAACGCACCAUCUUAUUGUUUGCUGCAGCCCAGACACUGAAUCUGAAAGGGGAAGAGGAGAAGCUAUCCAUUAGAACCAUCCAUCAGAAAGUGUCGCAACUGCAAGGCUCAAAGGUUUCAUUCAGCAUCUCUCCAGUGGCGCAACCACAUAAGACAUACCAUAUCAAGCAAGCCUUCACAGCCGACCACCUGGGGUUAGCUCAACAAUCCUAUCCUAUGGAGGCCCUUGUAAGUAAGUACAAACACCUAAAGGGACUUCCUAUCCAGUCCUUUGAGAAGAUUCACCCACUCUUGCUGAUUGGUGCUGAUCAGCCUCAUCUAAUCACUCCAAUCGAGCCAGUUAACCUGGGACCACCUGGCGGGCCAGCCGCCAUCAAAACAAGACUGGGUUGGACACUACAGGGCCCAGCGAAGCUUCUUCUGAAUCCUCUUCAUCCUCAGCAGGUCCUUUUCACCUCUUUGUUACCCAAGCAUACAGAGCUGAUGAGAAAUGUCACAAAGCUAUGGGAACUGGACAUUCUCCCCUAUCGUAAUGAGAAACAGGUCACUCGCUCCAGAGAGGAUCAGGCGGCCCUUGAAAUCCUGAACAAAGGAACUGUGAGAGUUGAAGUAAAUGGCAUUCAGAGGUAUGCCACCCCACUGUUGCGUAAAUCCAGUAUGGCUUGUCUUAACGCCUCCGAAGAAGCAGUAAUGCCACUCCUUCGUAGAACUGAAAGGCAUCUCUUGAAAGACCCAGAACGAGCAGCCACCUAUUCUGCAGAGAUCAAGAAAUUGUUGGAGGAAGGUUAUGUGGCCAAACUUGAUCCAGACAAACCACCACAGAGCCUUGAGCGGUGGUUCAUCCCACAUCAUAUGGUCAUGCACAAUGACAAAAAUCGACUGGUAUUCAACUGCUCGUUCCAGUACGAUGGAAUGAACCUAAAUGAGUCCCUACUACCUGGCCCAGUACUAGGUCCGUCACUCCUUGGAGUCCUGAUAAGAUUCAGGGAGCAUUCUGUAGCGGUGAGUGGGGACGUGAAAGGAAUGUUCCAUCAAGUCCGACUUCUGGAACAGGACAGACCUAUCCUGCGAUUCCUUUGGAGAGAUAUGGAACGAGACAGAGAACCGGACAUCUAUGAAUGGCAGGUGCUCCCAUUCGGCACUACUUGCAGCCCUUGCUGUGCUUCCUAUGCCCUGCAUAAACAUGUCCUUGACAACACGGAGUCGGGUGAUGACCUGCAAUUCACUAUUCAAAGGAGCUUCUAUGUUGACAACUGUCUUCAGAGCCUGAACACAGCUGAUGAGGCCAGAGGGCUGAUUGACCGACUCAGAAAGCUACUGGCAAGUGGAGGAUUUAACAUCCGGCAGUGGGCUUCAAACCAACCUGGAGUAGUAAGCCAUCUACCUAAGGAAGCUCAGUCUACCAGUACCGAACUGUGGUUGUCACAAAGGGAAACUGAAGUUCCUGAAUCCACUCUGGGUCUGCACUGGCACUGUCCCACAGACACUCUUAGGUACAAGCACCGUCCCUUAGAGUAUGGACUACCCACAAUGCGCAAUUUAUAUCGGGUUCUCGCCAGUCAAUAUGACCCAUUGGGCUUCAUUCUCCCCUACACGACCAGAGCGAAGAUCCUAGUUCAGAAACUGUGGGCUAAGCCGAGAGAAUGGGACGAUCCUCUAUUUCCUGAUGAACUUUUGCAGAGCUGGCUACAGUGGGAGGCUGAACUUAAGUCUCUUUCCUCCAUUACCUUUCCUAGAUGCUAUGUGACUCCAGAAAUGGACAAUGAUUCUGUAGGGAGAGAGAUACAUGUGUUCUGUGAUGCAUCUGAAAGGGCCUAUGGUGCAGUCUCAUACCUGAGAACAGAGAACAGUCAAGGCAAGGUACAGUUAGCAUUCCUAAUCGCACGCUCCCGAGUUGCACCCAAGAAACAGUUGUCAGUUCCCAGACUUGAACUCUGUGCCGCACUCUGUGGAGCUCAGUUAGCAGAGAUGCUAAGGAAAGAACUUACACUUGAAUAUCACAGGAUUACCUUGUGGUCCGAUUCCACCACAGUACUUAAUUGGUUGCAGUCAGAGUCCUGCCGGUUCAAAGUCUUUGUUGGCACCAGGGUUGCAGAGAUACAAGAAACCACAAAUCCACAGGAUUGGAGGUACGUGGACUCUGCUCUGAAUCCUGCGGAUGAUCUAACAAAGGGAAAAUCGCUUGCGGACCUAGCCACUCCAAACAGAUGGAGCAAUGGACCCCCGUUCCUUUUAAUGCACUCUGAUCACUGGCCAAAGAGCCCUGCUGCCAGCUGUCUGAAAGAUGACUCAGAGUUACGCAAGUCAACAUUUUGCGCCCUAAAUGUAGUGACCUCCAAAGCAGAAAUUCCUGAUGCCAGCCAGUCUACAACUUACAGAGAAUUACUGGAAGCUACUGCACGAUGUGUCCAUGGGGUGGCAAAUGGAGAACCACUAACAGCUGGAGACUUCCUACAAGCAGAAAUCCUUCAGUGGAGAGCAUCUCAGCUGGAUAGUUUCUUUGAUGACUUCCAAUGCCUGAAACAAGGUAAACCUCUCCCUUCUAACAGUAAACUACUCACCUUGAGUCCAGAGCUGGAUAAAGAGAUGGAUGUUAUUCGAGUGGGGGGAAGACUUCGACGAGCCGAAGCACUCGACAUAGCAACUAAGCACCCAAUUGUCCUUGACCCUAGUCAUGCCCUUACCAAGCUCAUCAUUCAAGAUUAUGAUAACCAGUUGAAACAUCCUGGCCCAGAGAGAGUCCUGGCUGAAGUCAGAAGGAAGUUUUGGAUUCUGCGUGGCAGAGAGGCCAUCCGCAAUCACCAGUUUCGAUGCACUGACUGUCGGAGAUGGAGAGCCAGCCCAGAAAUCCCACAAAUGUCAGACUUACCUGUAGCUCGACUUCAAUUAUUUAAGCCUGCAUUUUAUUCCACAGGGAUGGAUUGCUUUGGGCCCUUCUCAGUAAAGAUUGGACGGAGAGUGGAGAAAAGAUGGGGAAUAAUUUGGAAGUGUUUGACAACCAGAUGCAUCUACUUAGACAUACUAGCAAGUAUUGACUCUGAUUCCUUCCUUAUGGCAUUUAGGAGGUUUGCGGCACGUAGAGGAACACCCUUCGAACUUUGGUCUGAUCAAGGGACUAAUUUUAAAGGCGGGGAGAGAGAAUUGCAUGAAGCCUUCAAAAGUAUGUCACCUGAGUUACAGCUACAGUUAGCGAAGCAGAAAGUUCACUUCCGCUUCAACCCACCUGGAGCCCCUCAUUUCGGAGGAGCAUGGGAACGGGAGAUACGAUCUGUAAAAUCANNNNNNNNNNNNNNNNNNNNNNNNNNNNNUGGAGAAUGUACAAAAGGCCCUCAAUGAAUCAAGUAUGUAUAUAGUUAAUUCGGAAGCAUUACCUACUAUGUCCAGUACGUGGCAGUAUACCCUCACUUACGUUCAUUGCAAGUGUUGCAUCAGCCGUAACUGCGAUUGCGUUAUGAGGAAAUUACCAUAAGCUCCGGUCAGAUGUGGACUUUUAGCGCUUGGUUCCUGCUAAAUUCACCUGUUCUGAUUAUUCCUGAGUGGUUUUAGUUGGUGUGCGUCAAUGACGAUAUGUAAGUGCACUGUUUAUUAUUAAUGUUACUUUGAGAUUGUGUCUAGUCACUGUUUAAUGCCGUGAUAUGUGACGAUUCAUCCUAAUGCUAAGCUAAUCUUGACUGGUAGUGAAAGACAUCAUUUGUACGAAGUUUGUUAAGCAUUAAGCGAUUAUUCACGGUGACUAUUCAUUCUGUAAUCUUAAUCAAUGGCUGCAGUUGACUACUUCAUGAAGCAGAUUGCUGUUCUGUUGCUAAUAUAUAUUAUCCUAAUGUUAGUUUAAUAUUGUUCUAAUGUCUUAGUGUGUGAGCAUAAUACUGUACUAUUUGGGAUGAUAAUAUUACAGUUAGUAAUUAUUCCUUCUUUCUGUUCAUUUUAGAACCACAUCCAUAUAUAUCUAAUUGUAUAGAUUGGAACCACAGAAAGAAAUACCUGUAUGCCAUACCGUGCUGAUUCUGACUCCUAAACAUCCAAGUAAACCUACAUCAACCUGAUACUGUCUCCCUGAGUCGUGACUGACAUCCUGUAGCGAAUGCAACAUAUUACCAGUUAACUAAUUCAAUCCUGUCUCUUCCGAACAGAGAAAGUAAGUGAGCUUUGAAUUUACUAGCUUGUAGAUUCAGCAGCAAAACCAUCAAAUGUUUUCCGUCGCUGCCUUUAAGACUUCUUACCAAUUUUGGUUAAUC
This is a long non-coding RNA of Cyprinus carpio (common carp), 7231 nucleotides long. Lineage: Eukaryota; Metazoa; Chordata; Actinopteri; Cypriniformes; Cyprinidae. The record is from Ensembl.